GUUAAACGAUCUAUUAAUAUGCAUUGUGAAUUAAUUAUGUAUAAAUAAAAAUAAUUAGUAUUAUAAUUGAGUGCAGAACAUGUGAUGUAUUACACGUACACGAGUUGUGUAUGACGUAAGCAGAUGACUCACGGAAGUGCAAGAGACGCACUGAACACGAGAUGAGAGCGAUACAGAAGGGAUUAAAAAGAAUGAUGAUUGCUGAUUUAAGCGUGGAUGCUAGCCGAUUGUGAAGCUCCUUUUGACUCUGAAGCGGGUGUUUAUCAAACUGUGAAACUCGGGAUUUGGUCAGGUUUAUUGGUUGAGUUGAGAACCUCUCUCAUGGAUUUGAGAUGGCGGGCCACCAAGAAAAAAAUUGAAUGCUGAUUUCUGAACCUGGGAAAAAGACACUUUUGCUGCAUCACAAGGAUUCCUUAAAUUCUUCAACUUUCUUCAAUUGGGAGGACAUUCUCUUUUGUUCGGGUACUUCUUUGAACUGGUAGGAUUUAACUGAUUUUGCACUCACCCACUGGAUUUCUUACAGGACUUUCUGGACGAUAUUCAAAGACAAUUCAGACAAAGAGUUCU
Long non-coding RNA from Sinocyclocheilus anshuiensis, 567 nucleotides. RefSeq lists it as uncharacterized. The transcript has 3 exons. The record is from RefSeq and is a predicted model, not a curated record. NCBI's taxonomy places the organism in Eukaryota, Metazoa, Chordata, Actinopteri, Cypriniformes, Cyprinidae.